UAGUAAGAGUAGUAGUUAUGAACCUGGUAGACCAUCCCCAUGGGGUUGGUGAAGGGAGGGCCCCAAUUGGUAGAAAAAAACCCACAACCCCUUGGGGUUAUCCUGUGCUUGGAAGAA
This is a long non-coding RNA of Telopea speciosissima, 117 nucleotides long. RefSeq lists it as uncharacterized. The transcript is spliced from 2 exons. The record is from RefSeq and is a predicted model, not a curated record. Lineage: Eukaryota; Viridiplantae; Streptophyta; Magnoliopsida; Proteales; Proteaceae.